Long non-coding RNA from Cavia porcellus (domestic guinea pig), 2945 nucleotides. RefSeq lists it as uncharacterized. The transcript has 2 exons. Lineage: Eukaryota; Metazoa; Chordata; Mammalia; Rodentia; Caviidae. The record is from RefSeq and is a predicted model, not a curated record.
AGUGAGCAUGGGGAGCAAUGUGGACCAUCCAUGGAACAGCACAGUGCUCUGUCCUCCAGAAGCUUGGCAGUAAAAUGCGUCCACCAAGGUGGCUCUGCCUCCAUGCACGGGAUCAGCGGACACUUUUCAAAGGCUAGCUGCUCACGGACCUUCAGGAUGAAGCCUGGGAGAAUCCUGGCCCCCACAGAGCCAACCUUUGAGGCGUUCGCAGCAGAAGAAUGAGAACAGGAAAGAUGUCUGCACUCCCUCGAGCCUUACAGGCCAACCACAGUGAGCCACUUGCUGUUGUUCAAAUGCACAGCCUGGGCCACGGAGGUUCCGUCCACACUGUGUCCUCCUCUUCCCACAAAUACAGAGGCAGCAGCGCCUGAGCUGAAGCUAUGCACAUGCCGCCCCUCCUUCCCAACCUUUCUAAUCUUUUCAGAUUUCUGCCACAGGCUGUGUCACUUCAUUCCAUGGACCUGUUUACAUGUUUUCUUUCCUACCAAACUGUUUGCUCCUAAUCAAGAGCAUGUUAAUCAUUUUUCUGUUACUAGGACAAAAUAACCAACACACAAAAUUUAAAGUAGGCAAGAGAUGACUCACGGCUUCAGAGAUUUCAGUCCAUGGUUGGCCAAUUCCACUGCUGAGGGCCUGAGUGAGGCAGAACAACAGAGCAUGGUGGGAAAAAGCUGCCCACCUUAUCACCCUGGUAACCCACUUCUCUGGAUACACUUUCUUAGACUUUCACCAAAAACAUUCAAACUCCCAACUGAUGCAAUCACUUCAGUCUCAGAGUUUAUUUGAACCUCUCACAUCAGAUCCGCUGGGUCUCCGCUGCACCAAACUUGAGUCCUACCAUCUCUGAUGUGAGCCAGACCCAGGAAUCUAACAAGCUCAUUCUGGCUGGUCCCAGCUCUCAUGUCUUCUUUGGCAGGAGCUCUUCCCCCAUUUAUCUGGGACCGAACAUGGUGCAGGACACGAGCAUGUUUCUUCAUACAGUUCUCACCACCCUUUUGUGAGUAGGUCUUAUUGUCAUUUUUAUCUUUUGUAGCUAUAAUAGCAACAUGUACUGCCUGUUCACAGACAGGGAGCAAUGUGUCACGUAGUCCUUGCAGCAACACAAUGAAGCCACUGCUAGUAUCAGUCACCAUUUAUGGAUGCAAAGACGAGGCCAGGUCCAGUGACAACUCCAAGAUCCUAGAGAUACUAAGUCCUAGAGAUACUAAGGAGAUAAAGCAAUUAACUUAGCCAAAAGCAAAUCAGGGUCAUCCUACCACUAGCCUUGCCAAUCCUCUGUGGUAUUUGUCACCAGUGCCUCCCUGCUGGCAAUGCCCCAUCCUCAGCCUUCCAGGACUGUUGGGAGCCGCGUCUGUGAUAGCUCGCCUUGCGCGGCGGACGUGCGGCCUGUGGUAAAGAGCAAAGCCUGAGGUAGAUUACCCCUCCCAUCGAAUAUGUUAGUUUCCUGCUUACCGCGUAAACAACCCGCUCAACAAUAUAGUCUGCCUGGCAACUGAUGAUGUUAGCCAAUCAGCUUGCCUUGCUUACUUUAACAUGAUUGGACACUGUACCCGUAUAUAUACCAGUGCCACCCCUGGGCGGAAGAGGAAGCCAGAUAGAAGCCCGGAAGUAGAAGCCCAAAAGGAGCCGCGGAGAGCGGACCGGUAGAGGCUUUGGGGCAGACUGAAGCACAAAAGGAGCCGCGGGGAGCGGACCAGAGGAGGCUUCAGCUGGGAGAACCCAGGGCAGGCUGUACGGAGAAGGAAAAUAAAAAGAAAAGGUUGUCCACUACCAGACUUUGUCGUGUGUCCUUCCUGCCGGCCGGGAGCGGACAUCGACAUUUGGUGGCCCGUACGGGGACUGAUCACCCCCGAGACGUGGAAGUGGACAACGCUCCAGUACAGAGCUGCGAGACAGGAACCGGGACGAGAACCACUGUGGAUACCGGAGAGACUGACACGGGCAACAAAGCCCUCGACUGAAGAUCAGACCUGCCCUACUGGAGAUCCAUCACAGACCAACCAAUAAGAUGAAUAGAAAUAGCGGUAGCCCGAAAUGGACAAGAAGAUCCUCAGGCAUAUGCAUGGCUUGCUCAAUUGGCCCACGACCGAGUCUAGAUAUGGCGGGCAUCCCUCAUUCUCCUCCAUAAGGUGACAAUACACAGCAGGGUAGGUGAGUCAAUGACGGGUAAGAGCGUGCCUCCCCAGCACGACUCGACCUAAGCCAGGCCCUACCCCAUCCUGCACGUAAGCCGCUGGACUGUUAGAUGCUGCCCAGGUCUAAAUUUCUCUCCGAGGGGAUUUCUUUACGGAGAGAAAAUGAGUGCAAGCUUGUGUGCAUCCAGGUUCCGUCCAGUUUGUGCCUGGCCCUAGAAAAAGGACGAGGGCCUCAGGGCCUUGGCAGACCAUGGCAUGGCCAACCAGGGUCUAAGCCAAGGACCUACGGUGGACCUACACAUAGGGCAUAAGCCUCUGCACCCAGUCCAGGAAGGGCUACGAUGCGCACAUUCAUAAAAAAUAAAAUAGGGGGAGAUGUUGGGAGCCGCGUCUGUGAUAGCUCGCCUUGCGCGGCGGACGUGCGGCCUGUGGUAAAGAGCAAAGCCUGAGGUAGAUUACCCCUCCCAUCGAAUAUGUUAGUUUCCUGCUUACCGCGUAAACAACCCGCUCAACAAUAUAGUCUGCCUGGCAACUGAUGAUGUUAGCCAAUCAGCUUGCCUUGCUUACUUUAACAUGAUUGGACACUGUACCCGUAUAUAUACCGGUGCCACCCCUGGGCGGAAGAAGAAGCCAGAUAGAAGCCCGGAAGUAGAAGCCCAAAAGGAGCCGCGGAGAGCGGACCGGUAGAGGCUUUGGGGCAGACUGAAGCACAAAAGGAGCCGCGGGGAGCGGACCAGAGGAGGCUUCAGCUGGGAGAACCCAGGGCAGGCUGUACGGAGAAGGAAAAUAAAAAGAAAAGGUUGUCCACUA